AGUGAACGCUGGCGGUAGGCCUAACACAUGCAAGUCGAACGGCAGCACAGUAAGAGCUUGCUCUUACGGGUGGCGAGUGGCGGACGGGUGAGGAAUACAUCGGAAUCUACUUUUUCGUGGGGGAUAACGUAGGGAAACUUACGCUAAUACCGCAUACGACCUACGGGUGAAAGCAGGGGAUCUUCGGACCUUGCGCGAUUGAAUGAGCCGAUGUCGGAUUAGCUAGUUGGCGGGGUAAAGGCCCACCAAGGCGACGAUCCGUAGCUGGUCUGAGAGGAUGAUCAGCCAAACGGGAACUGAGACACGGUCCAGACUCCUACGGGAGGCAGCAGUGGGGAAUAUUGGAAAAUGGGCGCAAGCCUGAUCCAGCCAUACCGGGUGGGUGAAGAAGGCCUUCGGGUUGUAAAGCCCUUUUGUUGGGAAAAAAAAGCAGCAGGUUAAAACCCCGCUGUUCUGACGGUACCCAAAGAAUAAGCACCGGCUAACUUCGU
Molecule: ribosomal RNA, 491 nt
Filed under: uncultured bacterium
Lineage: Bacteria
Description: partial 16S ribosomal RNA
Rfam family: Bacterial small subunit ribosomal RNA
Source: RNAcentral